AUCUACGACCAAACCACCCUGAACACGCCCGAUCUCGUCUGAUCUCAGAACCUAAGCAGGGUCGGGCCUGGUUAUUACUUGGGUGGGAAAAUAAGUAACUACAGCCA
Gorilla gorilla gorilla (western lowland gorilla) is the source of this 107-nucleotide ribosomal RNA. The record is from Rfam. Lineage: Eukaryota; Metazoa; Chordata; Mammalia; Primates; Hominidae.